AGAUGUAAAAUCUGAGCUGCAACACUGAACAAAAGCUGUACUUGCCAGCCAGCAAAGAUGCUACCACUCUGCACAACAGAUAAAACCCAUACAUAUAGGGAAGUCAAAAGAGUCUUUAAGCUACAGUGUUUGAGAGGCUGUUUGUCUCUGAUGGAAAAUUAAGAAAAUGAGUCCAUUUCUAAGAAGAUGUGGUUCGAACAUACAGAGCUACAUAAUAUGAGUAAAAUAGGACCUAACAGUAGUGUUCUCCAGCAUUGCUCUGCCUUUCCUUUUCUGGAUGUAACAACAUUACUAAGAAAGGAAGAAAAAGCAAAAAUCUGCUCUCGGGGAGAUUCCAGCAUGUUGGAAAGCCCCAAAUGGAAGUCUCUGCUUUGGUUACAGGACAUAAGGUUUAAUAAAUAAAAAGAUGCUCAUCUGGGAUGCUGCACCAAUUAUCAUGUACUAAAUAAGGUUACCUAAUUCACUCUCCAGGUAGAAAUGUCUAUCAUAAGCAUGUGCCACAGAAGGUCUCACAAGUAUCAUUAUUGGCUGUGUUGAAUUUUGUUUUUAGUUCUCUUUUAUAAGGUCUGUAGUCUUACUUUCAGUGAGGAAGUGUUUUCUCAGGUUCUCAAGAAAGUAACAAAAUGCCAGCAUUGUCAAGGUCACCAUUGCCACUGAAUUAUCUUACUGUCUGAUUAUUCCAUCUUCCUCUGCAUCAUAUUAGCCUGAUGACUACAUUCUAAUUAUUUAAAGCGUUAUGUAAAUCAAAGCAGUAAAUGUAAUUUCUAGUCUUACUAGAUAUCAUGUACAUUAGGUCGAAUAACUCUAGAAAUGUCGUCAUA
This 821-nucleotide non-coding RNA is filed under the name Pan troglodytes (chimpanzee). The record is from RNAcentral. Lineage: Eukaryota; Metazoa; Chordata; Mammalia; Primates; Hominidae.